Molecule: long non-coding RNA, 647 nt
Organism: Equus caballus (horse)
Lineage: Eukaryota; Metazoa; Chordata; Mammalia; Perissodactyla; Equidae
Source: RefSeq, a predicted model, not a curated record
GUUUUGGUAACAUCUCAGCGAUCAUUAGCUCAGAUCUUGGACUAAAGAUCAGAGGCAGAACAAAGAGACCUGCUCUAGCUUGCCUAUUCUUGGGUUCCACACUGGCUUUGCCUGGACUUCCAAGCUGAGAGUAUCUCCCUGCUCCAGCAUCAUCCUACCACAACUUCAUCAUGAAAUGGAAGAAGGAGAGCAGAGAGAGAAGAAAGAUAAAAAUCAUGAAGAGGAAGAAGAAAACCCAUACUGAACUCACCAGGGGCAACUGAAAAGUAGCUUAAGCAAGGAUUUUCACAUUUGGACUUGGGGAUGAGAACGACUUGAAGAUCACUUCAGAGACGGACACUCCUCCAAAGGAAGAAAGAACGAAAACUGUCUCAAAGACCAUGGCACGCAAGCAGAAAGGAGGAGCCCUGGAAAGUUUAGACAAGCAUUUUCCAAAGUGUGCUCUGUGGAAUAUUACUUCUGAGUGAUUGUAAUAGGCAUGGCAUUAAAAAAAAAAAAAAGAAGAAGCGAGCAAAAUGGGUCUGAAUAUCAAAUAAGUUUGUAAAAUGCUGGGUUGCACAAAGCUAAACAAAUUCCUUUAUUGCACAACUCUUUAGAUCCUUUGUGGGCUCUGAAAGGGAUUGCGAAUCUCAGAAUUUGUGUGUGGG